RNAcentral lists this ribosomal RNA (442 nucleotides) under uncultured Oscillibacter sp. Its description in RNAcentral is "partial 16S ribosomal RNA". Lineage: Bacteria; Bacillati; Bacillota; Clostridia; Eubacteriales; Oscillospiraceae. The record is from RNAcentral.
GACUACUGGGGUAUCUAAGCCUGUUUGCUCCCCACGCUUUCGCGCCUCACCGUCAGUUGUCGUCCAGUAAUCCGCCUUCGCCACUGGUGUUCUUCCUUAUAUCUACGCAUUUCACCGCUACACAAGGAAUUCCGAUUACCUCUCCGAUACUCAAGAAAAGCAGUUUCAAAUGCAGUUUGGAGGUUGAGCCUCCAGAUUUCACAUCUGACUUGCCUUCCCGGCUGCACGCCCUUUACACCCAGUAAAUCCGGACAACGCUUGCCACCUACGUAUUACCGCGGCUGCUGGCACGUAGUUAGCCGUGGCUUAUUCAAGGGGUACCGUCUUCUACUCUUCCCCCUUAAAAGAAGUUUACAACCCGAAAGCCUUCUUCCUUCACGCGGCGUUGCUGGGUCAGACUUGCGUCCAUUGCCCAAUAUUCCCCACUGCAGCCACCCGUAGG